GGUUACUGCUAUCGGUGUUCGCCUAAGCCAUGCGAGUCAUAUGUUCGUAAGAACAUGGCGUACUGCUCAGUAACACGUGGAUAACCUGCCCUUGGGUCCGGCAUAACCCCGGGAAACUGGGGAUAAUUCCGGAUAACGCAUAUAUGCUGGAAUGCUUUAUGUGUAAAAUGGAUUCGUCUGCCCAAGGAUGGGUCUGCGGCCUAUCAGGUAGUAGUGGGUGUAAUGUACCUACUAGCCUACGACGGGUACGGGUUGUGAGAGCAAGAGCCCGGAGAUGGAUUCUGAGACAUGAAUCCAGGCCCUACGGGGCGCAGCAGGCGCGAAAACUUUACAAUGCGGGAAACCGUGAUAAGGGGACACCGAGUGCCAGCAUCCUAUGCUGGCUGUCCGGGUGUGUAAAAUACACCUGUUAGCAAGGGCCGGGCAAGACCGGUGCCAGCCGCCGCGGUAACACCGGCGGCCCGAGUGGUGAUCGUGAUUAUUGGGUCUAAAGGGUCCGUAGCCGGUUUGGUCAGUCCUCCGGGAAAUCUGACAGCUUAACUGUUAGGCUUUCGGAGGAUACUGCCAGACUUGGAACCGGGAGAGGUAAGAGGUACUACAGGGGUAGGAGUGAAAUCUUGUAAUCCCUGUGGGACCACCUGUGGCGAAGGCGUCUUACCAGAACGGGUUCGACGGUGAGGGACGAAAGCUGGGGGCACGAACCGGAUUAGAUACCCGGGUAGUCCCAGCCGUAAACGAUGCUCGCUAGGUGUCAGGCAUGGCGCGACCGUGUCUGGUGCCGCAGGGAAGCCGUGAAGCGAGCCACCUGGGAAGUACGGCCGCAAGGCUGAAACUUAA
This 837-nucleotide ribosomal RNA is filed under the name uncultured archaeon. RNAcentral describes it as "bacterial SSU rRNA". It matches the Rfam family "Archaeal small subunit ribosomal RNA", at positions 21 to 859 of the family's 1478-position model. The record is from RNAcentral.